UCUGCUUGGAUUAAUCAAGUUUUAAAUUGUAAUGCUAAAGAUUUAGUUGAUGACUAGAGAGAGAGUAGAUUAUCUCUGUUGUAGAAUUUUUAGUUAAGUCUGCUAUGGAAAUGUGGUUUACAUGAUUACCAUCUAAUUUCCAUCGGAGUGAAGUAAAUUUUUAAAAGAUUCCAAUCAGACUGGACAACAUGGGGAUGCUGCCUUAAUCUCUUUAACCAUGAUUUACAGGUGAUCGCCAAGAAUAAAUUUGAAAUAUGGAUUAUAAUCGAUGGAACAUGUGUUUGAAACUUAAGUUGCAGAGGGAUAUUUUAAAAAAAGCUGACUUUCCUUCAAACGGUUAGAAAUGGAAGAUUUCUUUCACCGAAGAAACAAGUCAAAUGACUCAAAUGUCAAUUGUAGGACCAUCCCCAGCAGCGUCAACCUGUAGAAGGAAAGGCCAGUUUGCAUGUCCUUCACACUCGAAGGUCAAGGAGAUCAUUACGUAAAACGUGUUAUGCAGUG
This is a long non-coding RNA of Daphnia pulicaria, 501 nucleotides long. RefSeq lists it as uncharacterized. The record is from RefSeq and is a predicted model, not a curated record. Lineage: Eukaryota; Metazoa; Arthropoda; Branchiopoda; Diplostraca; Daphniidae. The transcript is spliced from 3 exons.